GUUCUUGUAGUUGAAGUACAACGGUGAUUUUUCAUGU
Molecule: transfer RNA, 37 nt
Filed under: Ursus spelaeus (cave bear)
Lineage: Eukaryota; Metazoa; Chordata; Mammalia; Carnivora; Ursidae
Description: partial tRNA-Glu
Source: RNAcentral